Molecule: unclassified non-coding RNA, 2283 nt
Filed under: Pollicipes pollicipes
Lineage: Eukaryota; Metazoa; Arthropoda; Thecostraca; Pollicipedomorpha; Pollicipedidae
Description: cystinosin homolog, transcript variant X3
Source: RNAcentral
UGCGUCCGGUGUGUUCGUGCGCGUGAACGUGCUGGAGACGUUCGGACUGGACACGUUCAGCUCGGUCGUUGGCUGGUGCUACUUCGUCGCCUGGACCAUCUCGUUUUACCCGCAGAUGUACAUCAAUUGGAAACGGAAAAGCGUGGUUGGGCUCAAUUUCGACUUCCUGGCUUUGAAUCUCGUCGGAUUCACAUUCUACUCCGUAUUCAACUGUGGCCUGUACUUCUCCAGCGGGAUACAGGACAUGUACUACAAAGACCACCCGUACGGUCUUGUGCCGGUGGCGGUCAACGAUGUCGUGUUCGCCCUGCACGCUCUCUGCGCGUGCAUCAUCACCGUGCUGCAGUGCCUCAUCUACGAGCGAGGGGACCAGCGGGUCUCCACGGCAGCCAGAGGUCUUCUGGUGAUCUUCGCCGUCGUGAUCAUCAUCACCGCCAUCAUCACGGGUUGCGGAGUCGUCAACUGGCUCUGGUUCCUCUACGUGUUCUCCUAUGUGAAGCUGGCCAUCACCAUCGUCAAAUACGUGCCACAGGCGUAUCUCAACUACCGGCGGAGGAGCACCGAAGGCUGGGCGAUCGGCAACGUGCUGCUGGACUUCACGGGCGGCUCGCUCAGCAUCCUGCAGAUGUUUGUGGACGCCUAUAAUUAUGACGACUGGACUUCGAUAUUUGGGAACCCGACCAAGUUCGGAUUGGGGCUGUUCUCGGUUCUGUUCGACGUCCUGUUCAUGUGUCAGCACUACUGUUUAUACUCGUCCCGCCGGUCGGAGCUGUUGGACUCGGAGCGCACCGGUGACUCGUCUGCCGGUGGCGGGACGGACUUCAAGCUCGAGUCAGAUCGACGAUUCUAGGGCCGGCCGCCGCGCCGGCUCCACUGACGGGCCCCGCUCGGGGUGAGCCUCGUGCAGUCUUCGCCGGCCGAGAGAAGGGUGGACCGGCACGCGGCGGAGCGCCGCACGUGGGGACCCGUUGUGUCAGCGAGGGAGGCGGGUUGAGUUUCACCCCAAGAUCAUCGAGGCCGCCUUCCAUAAUCAGGCGUUUCUAGUCCGCAGUUGCUGAAAUAUGUACAGUUGCAUCAAGACUGUGUACCGGGUCGACUAACUCACGCGGUGUACACAUCCCAUGCUCUUCCAGUUUCCACAUAAUGGAUCAAUUGUCUUAGGAACAGAAGCAAACGAAGUUAGUGUGAUUAGAGGUUCGGACGGCUUGGCGUUGCUGUAUUUAAAUGGCACGGUGAAGUUAACAUAGGCUCCAGCAGAGACACAUGAGCGACCUUCGUGGGAGCAUCACAAACAUCGCUGCUCUGUGCCGUGGCUGAUAAGAUUUGAAUUUCGGCAGAUGGUGACUGGCGUUAAUGUGUUGACUCGUAAUCGUCUCACUAUUACAGAACACAUUGUCACUGUGAUGUUACAAUGAACGUUCGGGUACAGCACCUGCUGAGUGGCGUAUGGGUGGCCAGCUUUGUAUUUGCUGUGUUGUUGCCGGCUGCUGGCGUCCGAGAUGGAUGGUGAGAGACUGCUGCGUGCAGCACGGCAGGCGGCCGCUGCGACUGCGGCUCUGGCGGGAUCAGGCGCUGUAGGGCACCGCUGGUGUCAGGGAACCAGCCUCCUUGGGGUGCCACUGGCGUUAGGGAACCAGUCUGCGGGGUACCGCUGGUGUCGGCGGACGAGUUGCUGCAGUGUGGCUUUACUGCCAGGGUUUGUGUUCCCGGGAGGUAGCCCUGGUGCCACAUGGUCAGUCGUUGUGUGUAGUGGUGUCGUUGGGAGCAGCCGAUGUGAAGUGCUGAUGUACAAGGAUCAACAUGCGUGAGGCAGCGCUGGUGUCACGGGUCAGUCGCCAUAGGUGACGUUUGCUUCACACCUGAUGGGAUCGGCCCGCUCAGGUGGCGCCUUUGCCACUGGAUUGCCCGCCGCCGGGCGGCAAAGGUGUCACGACCUGGCCACACUUCACGACCCGUCGGCUGGUCGGCACUCGCUCCCACCGCGUACGUGGUGACAAGAGGCGUCAAUGGAGGCUACCAUGCCGCGAUUUGGACGAGUGUAUGGGAAAAUGCUAAGAGAAGCACGUUGGUUUCCAGCAGUUGCGGUUAUUUACGGGCGGACCAUGCAUGGGCGAGAAGGUAGUGGGCCAGUUGAGAAUGAGCUGCCUGAAAAUCUGGCCGAAUCCCGAGUCACCUGGUCGACGACUCCUGGUGACGCCAGUGUUAAAAGAAGGCCUAAAACUUUGUUGGUACGUGAGUGAUUUGACAUUGGUGGUCGAGCGUAUAUAUAUGGUACUCAUGGUA